This is a long non-coding RNA of Scophthalmus maximus (turbot), 3286 nucleotides long. RefSeq lists it as uncharacterized. NCBI's taxonomy places the organism in Eukaryota, Metazoa, Chordata, Actinopteri, Pleuronectiformes, Scophthalmidae. The record is from RefSeq and is a predicted model, not a curated record. The transcript is spliced from 3 exons.
CAGAGAUUGACUUUAAUUUUCUUAUCAUUUAAUGAUGUUUGUGUGACGAGCGAAGGUAAGAAGAUACCAUCAGGACAUCACAAUGUGUGGGUGAAUGAUUGAACACUUGGAUAUGUACCGAGCAUGUGUUUAACUCUCACACCACAUUAACUGCGAGGUUUGUCAUUAUAAAUGUUAAGUAUUAAUCAUUAAAGUUUUUUUUUAAUCAUAUUUACCUAGCAUUAGCCUUUGGGUAUAUUCAAAUUCAGUCAUUAGCGCGCCACGGUACUUUUCAUUGUCAGCGGGGGAGUCGGAGGAGCUGAAUUCAAAACGGACUAACUACGCGCGAGGGACUCACAGGAAACAAUCUGCUGCUGCAUAUGGUGAAGGUCUUUGCUUUAACAUCAUCCAGUCUGCCUUCUCUCCCUCUCCUGGCCAUCCUCCCCAGAAGUGCUUAAAAAACAAAGAUAAACACACACACGCCUCCUACCUGCCCUCCCCUCUAAUUAGGCAUCACGAGAGGGGCCCCAGCACUGCUUCUCCCCUCCCGUUAGCACCACUCCCCGGCACUCCUGCUGCAAUCCCACCCUGGGACAGAUCUGAGGGUCAAGGCCAGGGCAGGACGGAACAGACAGAACGAGGCGCAUGUGCUCGAGCCAAGGCAGAGUCGCUCGGCUGCGAGGUGAUGUGGCUUUUCAGAUUGGCUCUGUGUGAAAAAUGUGCAGGCCAGAUGAUGCACAGAGGGACCCGGCUGCUGCAAAUGAAGUUUGAGCUGGCGUCCAGGAACACACAACAGGAUAAAACAACAACGCUCAAUCACACUGAUGGAGGGGACGUGGGCUUCGCUGCAGAUGGAGGCCCAAGAUGGUUCAUCAGAGGAACCGGAUGCCAGAGGCUCAGCUUUCAAGCCCGGCAAUGACAAAUAAACCUCACGGUGGAGGAACAAAUGCAUUCACAAUGGGCUCCAGAGGAAAUAGAGAGGGGACGGAGGGCAGCCACCUGCAACAUCACAAAAGAUUUGACUAUCUGGGUUGGCCGUGGGAGCCACCGAGGCUGAGCUGGACACAAAAGGUCCGUCUGCUGUGAUGUUGCCAUCUGGUGGCAGUUCUUUUUUAAUGCGUGACAGCAGUCUGAUUUAAGGUCAGCGUUUUUGUAUUGUAGCACAAUAAGACAUAUUUCAUUUCCUGCGAGCCACAUCACAACACAAAAGGCCCCACAUUUCGAUACUGAAGCCCGGACAACGUGUGCCCUCCUGCAUACACCCUGGCACACGCGAUGCAACAUGAUUCCAGCAAGUUACGCCGUUUUCUGGCACGGAGCGAUUUGGGCAGUCAGUCACAGAACGUUAUUAGGACGCAGCAUCAAGUGAUUGAGGGAAAACAACAUCAUCGAGUGCCACAAGAUUUGGGGGUGGAAAGAUGGCUAAAGCCAUAUUCUCUGUUCCGCAUCUCUUCGGUUUUUCACAGAGCCUGGUUUAUUCAUCAUUUCCUGAUGCAGGAAGGAAUGAUUUGGAAUAAAGGAACACAUCAGUUCCCUUUUUUUAGGUGGGAGUUAAAACAGCAGAUCGAUAUCACUCUCGUAUAUCUGCAUGCGAAAUGUGAAGCAGCACAAGAAUUUGGCACAUACAAUUUGUCGUUUUUGCACUUGCAUUUUUGACAAAUUAGAUAUGACAUGCAAAUAAGCAUAUUCCCCAAACUACUCCUUCAACUAAAUGAGGUUCUGAAGUUAAAGAGAUCUUCAGAAGGAACUGUAAGUCGUCACUGGGAUAAUGAAAAAAGGGGAAACCGUCUUUUAGAAAUUUAGAAAAAAAACAGAGACGAGCUCAUCCUCCAGCCAGGUCUAAUUUUAUAUUUUUUCAAUCUUUUCUGAUCUAUGAUUCGGGAUUCCCCCCCCCCCCCCCCCAAUUUAUUUCUGCAAUGGUUUCUUUGGACGGAAGAAACUGCCAGUGUUCCAAUUUUGCAAGGGGUAAAAGAAAGAAUACAAAUUGGAGAUGAGUGCUAGACCCAAGCCCAGUUAUUGUAAUUUUUCAAAUUACUAUAGAAACUAAACUUUCUUUGAGACUCGACAUUAAACAGAAGCUGCCAUCUCUUGUUCUGUUCUGCAGAACUUCUCCUUCAUUGGCCCGCUGAGAACAGUGUGAAGCUACUUCCUCUUUGGCUGGCUUUACGGGGACGAAUGCCUGCUCUCUGGAUUUGCAGGGUUGGAAGAGCUGUAUCCCGACACACCUGAGUAAGGACACACAGGAAAAGUUGCCUCUGUGCCAGCAACACUAAGGAGGCUGCAGGAAAAGAGGGUACCUGGGCAAUUUGUGCAAACACGAGUACCAGUGAAUUUUUGGCCUUGGAAUAGCAUUGCUCACAUACACAGACACACACACAUACACACACACACAGCCGCACUUCCACACUACACAACCCUCUGUCUCCCUCCACAGAUUAACCCCAGAUGGCAACAAUGAGAUGAGUAUGAGGGCUUUUGCUGCGUAACUGAAAACACGCGGGCUUGUUAACGCACUCCAAAAACUUGCUCCAUCCAUCCGUCACCGGUCCAGAUGUUCUCUGAAGCCUUUUCCUCUACUCAAGUGGGACCAAUCCCUCUCAAAAUUAAUUCACUUCCCAUUCCACUUGCGUCCACAACAAAGGCCCUCGUGAAAGCUAAUUGGAUAGUUUGCGGUCUUUAUGAUCAAGCGAUCGAGCCGAGGGAGCGUGUUUCAGAGGACAGGGGAUGUUGUUGUUGACGGACGCUCACUUGGGACCGUUUGCAUGCCGUGACCCCACUUAAUCCCGCCAAUGGACCCCAAAGCUUCCCCAUCCUGAGCACUUCAAUACACUCGGAGAAGGACCAUUUCCUUGAAUAAACAUCAGAAUCGGUUCGGUUUUUUUCGCGGAUAAUUUUCCUUUGAAUUCCAGCAGGGUAAUCUGAAGAGUGAGAGGGGCAGCCAAACACUGUAGUGAAGUCUGGCAGCCGACUUGUAUCCAUCAAAUGUUAAAAACCAUAAAACAAGCUGUUUUCCACUAACUCCCAAAGAGAAUAAUCAUCAAUUUCAACAGAUAAGUCUUUGUCAAACUCAGUUUGCCUGCUGUGUUUUAUUGGCAGCAAUAAUAUUUAGAGACUUACCAGAAUUUAUUCACCUGAAACCUUGUUGGGAAAUAAAUACGCACAGCAGGUUUGUUUUCAGUUAAGAUUUAUAGAGCUGCAACAGUUAAUCGAUUAGUAAUCGAUAGUUUUUAUGAAAAGCAAGGAAAGAUUCUCUGAUUUCAGCUGCUUAAAUGUGAAUAUAUUCUUGUUUCUUUGCUCCUUUAUGACA